UACAGAGGGUGCGAGCGUUAAUCGGAAUUACUGGGCGUAAAGCGCGCGUAGGCGGUUUGUUAAGUCGGAUGUGAAAUCCCCGGGCUCAACCUGGGAAUUGCAUUCGAUACUGGCAAGCUAGAGUAUGGGAGAGGAAGGUAGAAUUCCAGGUGUAGCGGUGAAAUGCGUAGAGAUCUGGAGGAAGACCGAUGGCGAAGGCAGCCUUCUGGCCUAAUACUGACGCUGAGGUGCGAAAGCAUGGGGAGCAAACAGG
This 253-nucleotide ribosomal RNA is filed under the name uncultured Alkanindiges sp. RNAcentral describes it as "partial 16S ribosomal RNA". It matches the Rfam family "Bacterial small subunit ribosomal RNA", at positions 524 to 776 of the family's 1533-position model. The record is from RNAcentral. Lineage: Bacteria; Pseudomonadati; Pseudomonadota; Gammaproteobacteria; Moraxellales; Moraxellaceae.